CCGACUCCUGACUGACAUGUCUGCAUGUUGUGUGUUUUUUUCUGUGCAGGGUAAGAGAUUGGUCAGCCUGGACGCCUGCAAGGCUCUGCCCAGCCCUUUACCUCAUCUCUGACAGCAGCCACUGGAGCAGGACAAAAUACUUACACGGGGGUGCACUACGGAUGUGGUACCAUACAGAAAGACCUCACCAUUUCCAUGCAGGAAUAAAAGAACCAGAUGUGGAAGCAGAUCAUAAAACUGCUCUGCCCAGAUCUGCAGGGGAAUCAAACAGAUGGCAGAUCCCACUGCAAUUUGGAUGAAGAUUUCAUAGCUAGAUAAUCAAGAAAAUAGUAAAGUGGUU
RNAcentral lists this long non-coding RNA (340 nucleotides) under Manacus vitellinus (golden-collared manakin). RNAcentral's name for it is "lncRNA (ENSMVIG00005013549.1)". The record is from RNAcentral. Lineage: Eukaryota; Metazoa; Chordata; Aves; Passeriformes; Pipridae.